This 352-nucleotide unclassified non-coding RNA is filed under the name soil metagenome. RNAcentral describes it as "partial contains 5.8S ribosomal RNA, internal transcribed spacer 2, and large subunit ribosomal RNA". The stretch from base 1 to 120 matches the Rfam family "5.8S ribosomal RNA", at positions 35 to 154 of the family's 154-position model. The record is from RNAcentral.
GAUGAAGAACGUAGCGAAAUGCGAUAAGUAAUGUGAAUUGCAGAAUUCAGUGAAUCAUCGAAUCUUUGAACGCACAUUGCGCCCGCCAGUAUUCUGGCGGGCAUGCCUGUUCGAGCGUCAUUACAACCCUCAGGCCCCCGGGCCUGGCGUUGGGGAUCGGCGGAGCCCCCCGUAGGCACACGCCGUCCCCCAAAUGCAGUGGCGGUCCCGCCGCAGCUUCCAUCGCGUAGUAGCUAACACCUCGCGACUGGAGAGCGGCGCGGCCACGCCGUAAAACACCCAACUCUUCUGAAGUUGACCUCGAAUCAGGUAGGAAUACCCGCUGAACUUAAGCAUAUCAAUAAGCGGAGGA